GAUGAACGCUGGCGGCGUGCCUAAUACAUGCAAGUAGAACGCUGAAGGAAGGAGCUUGCUCUUUCCGGAUGAGUUGCGAACGGGUGAGUAACGCGUAGGUAACCUGCCUGGUAGCGGGGGAUAACUAUUGGAAACGAUAGCUAAUACCGCAUAACAGUAGAUGUUGCAUGAUAUCUACUUAAAAGGUGCAAUUGCACCUCUACCAGAUGGACCUGCGUUGUAUUAGCUAGUUGGUGAGGUAACGGCUCACCAAGGCGACGAUACAUAGCCGACCUGAGAGGGUGAUCGGCCACACUGGGACUGAGACACGGCCCAGACUCCUACGGGAGGCAGCAGUAGGGAAUCUUCGGCAAUGGACGGAAGUCUGACCGAGCAACGCCGCGUGAGUGAAGAAGGUUUUCGGAUCGUAAAGCUCUGUUGUAAGAGAAGAACGAGUGUGAGAGUGGAAAGUUCACACUGUGACGGUAUCUUACCAGAAAGGGACGGCUAACUACGUG
Molecule: ribosomal RNA, 497 nt
Filed under: uncultured bacterium
Lineage: Bacteria
Description: partial 16S ribosomal RNA
Rfam family: Bacterial small subunit ribosomal RNA
Source: RNAcentral